UGAGGUGUGGGGGAGGUGGCACUGUGAGGUGUGGGGGAGGUGGCACUGUGAGGUGUGGGGAGGUGGCACUGUGAGGUGUGGGGGAGGUGGCACUGUGAGGUGUGGGGAGGCCCGGCUCGUGGUGGUGGGUCCUGAACAGAGGCUGCCAUUAGGGUUGCAGGCAAGACAGAUGGGCACAGAUGGGCAGACCCGAUGGCUCUGGAAGUUCAGGGGGUGGCCCAGGGCGGCCCACCCUGCUGGGGCUGCGGUUUUCCUGGGCAGCCGGAUGUUGGCUGGCAGCACUGGGCACAGAGGAGACAGAAGCACAGAACCGGAACCAGGCGGCCCAGCCCAGCCCUCUGUGCCCUGCGGCAGGACAGCCUCCAGUCAGGUAAAACAGGGGGUGGCCUUGGGGCUUGCACAGACGGAACAUGUGCCAUGUCAUUGGGAAGGAGCUCACCAGGAGAAAGAUGGGGCCUUGGGGAAGUGGCUUCCUGCUGUGGAGCCUCAGUUUCCUCAUCUGUGACAUGGGGCUUUUGUGAGGGUUGCUGCGAGAAUGAAGAGGAGUGAUCUGUGAACAGCCAGCUCACGGCUGAGUGCCCCUUGGCUUGGAGGUGGAGAAAGAAGAUGGGGCUGUUCUCUUCCCCAGCUGGAGUCUUGGAGGAGAGCAGCUGCCCAGGGGGAAUGGAAAGUUAGGUCCGAAGGCCGCUUUGAAAGGGUUGGAGGCUGGUUACCCUGAGCCCAGCUCCGUGUUGGCUGCUAUCAGCUGGCUCACUGGUGCAAACCUCAGUGCCUUUUUGUUUUGGUGGGAAUUAGAGCCUAUGGGGGCGCAUGUAUUUAGAAACCAUAACACUCCAUCGGCACGUGCGAGAGUGGUUUGCAAUGGAACUCAGUCUUCACAAUGCUGAGGAAACACAGUUGGGAAACUGAGGCACACGGAGAAGGUGGCUCACCCAGGGCCACACGGCGGGGAGGUGUGGCAGCUCUGAUGGGGGCGUCCAGCCUGGUGGCAUCUCAGCAUAUGCAGUUAGGGGGCUCCUCUUAGGGAGAAGGAAUACCAAAUCCUGUGGCAGUGGAUAUUCCGACAGGAGUGAAAUCCCAAGAAAAGGCCCAUUUUAUAUCAGGCAAAUAUUAGAGAUGGCAAUGCAGCCAGGUCCUCCCUGCCAGGAAGGGUGGAAACCCUGAAGAAUCAGCACCCGCUGUCCCUUGAACCCAGGCCUGGACUCCUGCCCCAGUGCUCUUUCCACGGAAGCAGCUUCCUCGAAUGCACCCGGUUUCCUGGGAGUGAGCUUCUUUGCCACCGGAAUGAACGAACAAUCCAGAUGAGGAUUUCAGGAUGGUUCCGCCCUGCCUGCCUCACAGCGCCCUUCCCAGAACAGGCGGGGGAACGCGAGGCAAGGUGGUUCUCGCCUGGAGCCGGGUGGGUGGCCUGGGGGGCAGAGGCAGGCUCUGAGUUCUGCACCUAUUUACAUAUCCCCUGCCCACUGUCCGGGCGCUCCUUCCCUUCCCUGGUUCCUCAAGGCACAGCUCCCCCGGGCAGAUGAAAGCUUCAUGGAGUUUUGCGACAUGAAAGUCAGUCGGAGGAAAGAGCCUUGAACAGUUCCGCGUGAAAGAGAGAGGCAAGUGCCCGAAAUUAUUUUACGACAAAGGCAGCUCUCUCUGCCACAAAGGCACGGAGGAGAAAGGAGCCCUGGAAACAGGUCAUUUCUUUCGUGGAAAAAUGGAAACUGCUCUGAAGCAUUUUGGGAGACAUGCUGCGAAGUAGGUGACAUCGGAAGACGAGGACACUGGGGGCUCCCUGCCAGGAGGUGCAAAAAGCAACUCCCGUUCGAGGGUCAGAGGAGCCUGGACGCUAAUGUCUCUUGAAGGUGACUGGGAGCCAGUUGCCGGAAAGGCCACGCCCUCAGGAACACAGAGCCUCACCGGAUGCCCUUCGGCUUCUUCAAGAACAUAUACUGAGCUGGCCUCACUCCAGAGUUGUUUACUUGUGCUUGUCUUCACAAGGUAAUUGAGAAGAGGCCCAAAGAGAGCGAGGGCCAGCUCUCCGGCUGCCUGCUUCCCAGGCCAGGCUGUUUCCUUCUCCAGGGCCACUUCUGCAAACUCUUCAAAAGAAACAAGGUCACACUCCCUAGUCUAAGCAAGGGAGGAAACCAAAGGCAGCUUUGAUAUGUCAGCUUGGGGAACAAGCUGACGGCACGGAUCACGAGCGCUGCUUUCUGCCUGAGCAAAUGGCUCUAAAUGACGUACUUCAGGCUCUCCUCUUAACGUGCUGGGUGUUUAUGAUUUUUAAAAAAGUGCCUCAUCAAAAAAAAUGCAAUAAUGAUGCUCCUAACUUAACAGCAGCAUUUUAGAAGAGAUGAAUUAUUCACAUCAGAGAUGAAACAGCGACUCCACAAACUGGGCCAGCUGAAGCAGUCCCUUUCCCGGGAACUAUUUUUAUCUUUUUUUACAGUCUUUCAUCUUGGGAGACACGCGGUUCGCAAUGUACGGGGAGCCCAUUGCUCAGAGCCCAAGCUGGCAGGAUGUCAAACCUGAAGUACUAGGCGUCUUGGAGCUUCUGCCUGGAGUACGAAAUCUGAGGAAACUGAAGUGUGGAAAACGGGGCAGCAGCAAUGUGAAUGAAGAUGAUUGAGGGGUGUUGGGGACUCCCUGUUUCUUAACCUUGGAGGGCUCUCAGAGGCAUGCUUCUCCAUCGUUGACCCAGGGCACCAUGGAGUUAUCCUGCCCUUUAUUUUCCUGACAUCUAAUGAUUUCCCACCUAAUAAUGCGUGGAGCUCUUGGGAAAGAG
This is a long non-coding RNA of Macaca mulatta (Rhesus monkey), 2767 nucleotides long. RefSeq lists it as uncharacterized. The record is from RefSeq and is a predicted model, not a curated record. Lineage: Eukaryota; Metazoa; Chordata; Mammalia; Primates; Cercopithecidae.